This 253-nucleotide ribosomal RNA is filed under the name uncultured bacterium. RNAcentral describes it as "partial 16S ribosomal RNA". It matches the Rfam family "Bacterial small subunit ribosomal RNA", at positions 524 to 776 of the family's 1533-position model. The record is from RNAcentral.
UACAGAGGCCUCAAGCGUUGUCCGGAAUCAUUGGGCGUAAAGGGCGCGUAGGUGGCCCGGUCAGCGUGCGGUGAAAGCUCGGGGCUCAACCCCGAGUCGGCCGUGCGAACUGCUGGGCUUGAGCACUGUAGAGGCAGGCGGAAUUCCGGGUGUAGCGGUGGAAUGCGUAGAGAUCCGGAAGAACACCGGUGGCGAAGGCGGCCUGCUGGGCAGUGGCUGACACUGAGGCGCGACAGCGUGGGGAGCAAACAGG